Molecule: unclassified non-coding RNA, 232 nt
Filed under: Hevea brasiliensis (rubber tree)
Lineage: Eukaryota; Viridiplantae; Streptophyta; Magnoliopsida; Malpighiales; Euphorbiaceae
Source: RNAcentral
AAAAUUUUCCUUGAUGAAUUAGGUGAUUGGUGGGUUGUAGCCUUCACAAUUAAUAAUAAUCUAAAUGUUUGUAGCCUUUUCAUUGGGGCAACCCAAAGGGAAGAAGUGUGAGAGUCCACUCCACCAUCUUUUUGUUGAUUCAAAUCAAAACCUUUUUCUAUCACCUACCCGCCCCCUUGAUUUGUGCACCUAACAUUACAAAUGUAACUUUCCCAUUUUUUUUUUUAUUAUU